This is a long non-coding RNA of Magnolia sinica, 1230 nucleotides long. RefSeq lists it as uncharacterized. The record is from RefSeq and is a predicted model, not a curated record. The transcript has 2 exons. Lineage: Eukaryota; Viridiplantae; Streptophyta; Magnoliopsida; Magnoliales; Magnoliaceae.
AGAACAUCUCGGACCAGGCUUCAUUCCCCUCAAAAUCGCAUUUCUUCUCACUUCCUUUUCCUCUCUUUUCUCUAUUGGGAUUCUUGGAUCAGCUUCGUUGAUGUUAGGUUGUGGGGAAUGUUGUCUGGCUCGCGGCCAUGGGGGUUAAUUUAUUGGCCUAUAUAUCGAGCCUUUUAGAGCCAUUGGUUCUAUCCUACAUGACCUCGGACCAGGCUUCAUUCCCCUCAACCAAUGUUCGCCAAUCUUCUAUUGUGUAUGGUUCACUCAUGCAUACCACACCAGGUUUGUUCAUGCACCGCAUUAAAACAUAUGUAAGAAAUCGAUUGCAUGUGAGCCUUCUAAGUACAUAGAUUCCAUGGACCAGGCGUCUUUGCCCUCAACCAAGUUAGCCAUUUUUCCUCCAUGUGUGUAGUUCACUCGCACAUACCACACCAUGUGUGUUCAUGCAUAACAUUAAACAUGUGUGAGAAAUUGAGAAAUAGAUUGCAUGUGUUGUAUUGUCAUCCUAGCCUUUUAAAUAUAUGGGUUCAACCCUAAAUAACCUCGGACCAAUGCUCGCCAUCUUCCUUUAUGUGUGUGAUUCACUCACACAUACAUCAUAUGUAUUCAUGCAUGACAUUAAACAUGUGUGAGAAGUCACUAGCUAGCAUCUGUUGUUCUGCAAGCCUUUUAAGUAUAUAGAUUCAACCCUAAAUGACCAUGACUUCAUUCUCUUGAACCAACACACACCAUCCUAGCUUUUCCUAUGUGGGUCACUUACACAUGCCACACGUGUUUUCUGCAUGUCACAAAAGUACAUAAAAAUUUACAACAGCAGGAAGAAUAGUCAUAUGAUUUCCUGGCAAUGUCUAAUUUUCAGGAAAAGAUGAGCUGAGUCUCUUACCUACUUAAUGAAUGGCUCUGAUUCACACGCGUGCCACGCCCUUACGUUUUCAUGCGAAGUGACAUAUGAAGAGAGACGUGCAUAGAUUUUAACGAGAAAGUAUCGUAUUCUCCGGUUUCCUUGAUUGUCAUGAUUUUAAAAGGUUUGUUAGAAUACAUCUAGAUGUAUUGUAAUAGCGUACGUCGAGAUUUUUGCCUUUGUAUUUGGAUCAUCUUCAAUGAUCCAGAUCGCUUAUAUCAUGGGCCUCGCUUUGGAUGGGAGAUAUCGUAAACAAAAAUCUCUUUUAUUGUAAUAAUUCGAACGGUUGAUCAUUUAACUCUUUUCCUUUGAACAUGGUCGGUUUUCUU